CACUCCUGCGGGAGGCAGCAGUGGGGAAUAUUGGACAAUGGGCGCAAGCCUGAUCCAGCCAUGCCGCGUGAGUGAUGAAGGCCCUAGGGUUGUAAAGCUCUUUCACCGGUGAAGAUAAUGACGGUAACCGGAGAAGAAGCCCCGGCUAACUUCGUGCCAGCAGCCGCGGUAAUACGCAGGGGGCUAGCGUUGUUCGGAUUUACUGGGCGUAAAGCGCACGUAGGCGGACUAUUAAGUCAGGGGUGAAAUCCCGGGGCUCAACCCCGGAACUGCCUUUGAUACUGGUAGUCUUGAGUUCGAGAGAGGUGAGUGGAAUUCCGAGUGUAGAGGUGAAAUUCGUAGAUAUUCGGAGGAACACCAGUGGCGAAGGCGGCUCACUGGCUCGAUACUGACGCUGAGGUGCGAAAGCGUGGGGAGCAAACAGGAUUAGAUACCCGUGUAGUCCCA
RNAcentral lists this ribosomal RNA (447 nucleotides) under uncultured organism. Its description in RNAcentral is "partial 16S ribosomal RNA". It matches the Rfam family "Bacterial small subunit ribosomal RNA", at positions 334 to 797 of the family's 1533-position model. The record is from RNAcentral.